Molecule: ribosomal RNA, 461 nt
Filed under: Odoribacter laneus
Lineage: Bacteria; Pseudomonadati; Bacteroidota; Bacteroidia; Bacteroidales; Odoribacteraceae
Description: bacterial SSU rRNA
Rfam family: Bacterial small subunit ribosomal RNA
Source: RNAcentral
UCCUACGGGAGGCAGCAGUGAGGAAUAUUGGUCAAUGGUCGAGAGACUGAACCAGCCAAGUCGCGUGAGGGAUGACUGCCCUAUGGGUUGUAAACCUCUUUUCUAUUGGGAGAAUAAGCCUUAUGUAUAGGGUGAUGACAGUACAGUAGGAAUAAGCAUCGGCUAACUCCGUGCCAGCAGCCGCGGUAAUACGGAGGAUGCGAGCGUUAUCCGGAUUUAUUGGGUUUAAAGGGUGCGUAGGCGGCUUUAUAAGUUAGUGGUAAAAUUUCGGAGCUUCACUCCGGUCCGCCAUUAAAACUGUAGAGCUAGAGAAUGGACGAGGUAGGCGGAAUAAGUUAAGUAGCGGUGAAAUGCAUAGAUAUAACUUAGAACUCCGAUAGCGAAGGCAGCUUACCAGACCAUAACUGACGCUGAUGCACGAGAGCGUGGGUAGCGAACAGGAUUAGAUACCCUGGUAGUCC